UUGGCUAGUCCCUGACUUAUAAGUUGGUGAAAGACCGUGUUAGUAUUAAUACAAGUCAUAGGUCCCCAUCGUAGAAGAGAUAUCAACCUAGAGAUCGAUAGAAUCCCAACUUAGAGGUUGGCUAGGGAUUGACCUGGAGGUUGGUUAGAGUACCGGCAUGGGUUGUAGGUCCCCAUUGUUGGUGAGAUAUCGAUCUGGAGAUCGAUAGAAUUCCAUCCUGAGGUCGGCUGGGGGUUGACUC
Molecule: long non-coding RNA, 241 nt
Filed under: Elaeis guineensis (African oil palm)
Lineage: Eukaryota; Viridiplantae; Streptophyta; Magnoliopsida; Arecales; Arecaceae
Description: long non-coding RNA (EGUI_LNC003003)
Source: RNAcentral